AUUGAACGCUGGCGGCAGGCCUAACACAUGCAAGUCGAGCGGAUGAAGGGAGCUUGCUCCUGGAUUCAGCGGCGGACGGGUGAGUAAUGCCUAGGAAUCUGCCUGGUAGUGGGGGAUAACGUCCGGAAACGGGCGCUAAUACCGCAUACGUCCUGAGGGAGAAAGUGGGGGAUCUUCGGACCUCACGCUAUCAGAUGAGCCUAGGUCGGAUUAGCUAGUUGGUGGGGUAAAGGCCUACCAAGGCGACGAUCCGUAACUGGUCUGAGAGGAUGAUCAGUCACACUGGGACUAAGACACGGUCCAGACUCCUACGGUAGGCAGCAGUGAGGAAUAUUGGACAAUGGGCGAAAGCCUGAUCCAGCCAUGCCGCGUGUGUGAAGAAGGUCUUCGGAUUGUAAAGCACUUUAAGUUGGGAGGAAGGGCAGUAAGUUAAUACCUUGCUGUUUUGACGUUACCAACAGAAUAAGCACCGGCUAACUUCGUG
RNAcentral lists this ribosomal RNA (484 nucleotides) under uncultured bacterium. Its description in RNAcentral is "partial 16S ribosomal RNA". It matches the Rfam family "Bacterial small subunit ribosomal RNA", at positions 30 to 507 of the family's 1533-position model. The record is from RNAcentral.